GGUAAUUAUCAUUUUACAGUAUAUGAUGACAAUUGUAUUUUGAUUGAUCUUGUAUUUGUCAUUGUUUCACCUAUUGAAUAUAUUGUAUAGUUUUGAUUCAAAGGGUAUUAUGAGUUAUUGUUUUUGUUUAAAACUGCACAAUUGUUUUUAUUCUUUUUUUAGUACUUAAAAGAAGUCUCUUGUUCUAGAUCUCUCGAGUAAGUAAUACCGGACAUCACAUUAGUUUGAAACUAGAGUUUUGGUGCUUAUGAAAGUGGUUUGAAGUGUGCCUGAGGCACAAGGAGCCAAGGGUGAACUGCCAUCUAGCUGAGUUUAUUCACCUAUGCAUACAUCUAGCUCUGGAAAAUUGGGUGAAGCAAAAACACGUCUUAUUUAGCCGUUAGAUUAUGUGAUUGAAUUUUAGUUUUAUGGUGUGGUGCAUGAGGCACAGUUUUUACCUUGCACUGUUAUAAAGCUGAAAUUUCUAGAAGAUCAGAGAGCAUCCAAAGGGUCAAAAAGAAGAAGAGGCAAUAAAAUAUGGUCUCCUUGUGGUGUGAUAAAAUAUUGAUCCAAUUGUGGCUUAAUGAUUGAGUAUAUUCUGCAAGUACAAAAUAUAUAACAAUAUGCAUUCAGUUUAGAGAUAAAAUAAUAUGCUUCAAAUUUACUUGAUUUGAUUAUUUUUACUUGAUUUCUUUGCAUAUCGUCUGUGGAAGUUUUAAACAGUUUAAACCUUGGUAUGAUAGCCAAAAUAAAUUUGUAUUCAGCAUGUCUUAACUUUUAAGCCUUUUUUUUUUUUUCUU
RNAcentral lists this unclassified non-coding RNA (779 nucleotides) under Hevea brasiliensis (rubber tree). Lineage: Eukaryota; Viridiplantae; Streptophyta; Magnoliopsida; Malpighiales; Euphorbiaceae. The record is from RNAcentral.